CAGUAGCCACGGUAAUACGUAGGGUGCAAGCGUUAAUCGGAAUUACUGGGCGUAAAGCGUGCGCAGGCGGUUUGUUAAGACAGAUGUGAAAUCCCCGGGCUCAACCUGGGAACUGCAUUUGUGACUGGCAAGCUAGAGUAUGGCAGAGGGGGGUGGAAUUCCGCGUGUAGCAGUGAAAUGCGUAGAUAUGCGGAGGAGCACCGAUGGCGAAGGCAGCCCCCUGGGCCAAUACUGACGCUCAUGCACGAAAGCGUGGGGAGCAAACAGGAUUAGAUACCCGCGUAGUCCCUGUCUCUUAUAC
This 301-nucleotide ribosomal RNA is filed under the name uncultured bacterium. RNAcentral's name for it is "partial 16S ribosomal RNA". It matches the Rfam family "Bacterial small subunit ribosomal RNA", at positions 509 to 807 of the family's 1533-position model. The record is from RNAcentral.